Molecule: long non-coding RNA, 2063 nt
Organism: Syngnathoides biaculeatus (alligator pipefish)
Lineage: Eukaryota; Metazoa; Chordata; Actinopteri; Syngnathiformes; Syngnathidae
Exons: 4
Source: RefSeq, a predicted model, not a curated record
UUAUUAUUAUUAUUAGUGAAGUGCAUUAAAGUUUGGUAUUGGAUUAGUUGUGGGAAUUCACAGAACGGGAGCUGUCAAGUGGCAGGAAUUGACCCCUCCGUGGAUAUUGCGAAUCCGCGUCACUGACCAAUCAGAGGCCAGAGAUUUGCAUAAACCAAAGCCCGUUUUUGCUCCCGCCAUUUUCUCAGACAACAUUGCAUGGUCCAGUAUAGGUUUUGUUAGCGUUUUAUCGCGUAUUUUGGUUAUUUAACAAAAAAUAUGGUUAAGAGGUGUAGUCACGGACUUUGUAAUAGUGACGACAGGUAUCCUGAAAGGCUAGUUGGUGGAGUUCGAUUCGUACCCUUUCAAAAACCGAAGACCCAGUACGAAAAAUGCCUUCGAUGGAUCAAACUUUGUGCAAGACCGCAUCAUCAACUAAAUCCAUCUAAUAUCAACCGGAACAGAUAUGUUUGCACGAAGUUUUACCUCCAGGAAGGGAGCUCGUUAUUCAUUCGUGUUAGCCAAAAUGCCGACUUGUUGGAUUGCUGGACAUUGCUUGAACACUCGGGAGGAUGGAUUUACCCAUCAUAAAUUUGCAAGAGACCCAGUUCGUCGUGAAAAAUGGAUUGCACGAGUGCAAAGGAAAGAGUUUCGUGGGUUCCAAAUGGCAGGACAUCUGCAGCACAACCUUGGUGGCAAUCGUCAUGAGGACUUGAGGUCGGCUAAGGGUACCAGCCAAAACGCACUGGCUAGGAGUGGGGCAAUCCACGUACAAGUAUUUCUUCACACAAUCAUACAUAUCCUUCCUGUUGCUGGCAAAGACCACUACCAGCUAUUAAAAAUAAAAAAAAAAGUGUGACACAGCAGCAGUGAAGUUGUUUCUGUUUGCUUUAGUCAUUUUAAAUCUCAUUCACUCCAAGUUAACCUGCAUAUUUGAGUUGUCAAGCUGUCAAUGUAAUUGAUUCAUGAAUAUGUUUGGAAACAUUUACCCCACUAAUAACAACAAAAUGACCAAUCGUUCCUGUCCAAUAACUUCAGAACAUAUUUUGCCACUAACCAUCUGUGUUUCAGCUUGAACAUUCUACUGCAGGGUUCUAAGCAGAGACUCCUGAUGACCUUCAUACUCAAUCCUAAAAAGGACAAGAAAAAUAAAUGCCAGGCAAAGGCUGGAUUUAAACUAUACCCCGGAGUUCAGUGUGGCUUAUUGCAGACUUUGUAUGGCCCUCACAUGACCGCUUUUUGGAUGGAGAUCCUAGCUGGGCCUGCCACUUUAUUGAGAGUCUCCAGGAGGCUUUGCACUUCCCUGGUGUUCCGGCGAGUGUAGAGCAGCAGCCAGUUUUGCAGAGGAGGGGAGGAAAUCAAAGGCAACCCAUGCAUCUCUCUUGCCCAAUCAUCUGUCCGAGGGUUGCAACCAUACUAAGGGACACAGGCGUCAAUAUCCAUUUCAACUCAAGAAUAAAAAUGCCCAAUUCCAACAUUUUCUACCAAUCUUGAUUCCUGGAUAAUUUUCUCUGGUGGGAGGAUUCUGUCAGUCAGACUUAGGAGCUGCUGGUCGAAGUUAAGCCCCCACCUCGCCAACUCUCUCUGGACUUCAGUGUCCCCUCCAAGUCAAGUGAAAAGUGCAAUCAGUACUUAGUCUGUAAAUUUCACAUCACGGUUAAUCAUGACCAAAAGUAUGAGGAUUGGAUUGAUUCAAGAAAUGGAAACAGAAAAAAAAAGAAUACCGUUGUAUUGAUUUCACAUUAAUUUAUUUGUAGCCUGAUUUCCUCAUUGUAUAUAUAUGAUUUCAAACUGGACUUUGAGCUGACAAUAUUUACAAAACUUGAAUUGAAAUACAAAUUCUUCAGGGGACGGUCAACAAAAACAUGAUCCAGAUGUUGACUAUCCAGAUGCUUCAGACUGACCUGUCUGCUGUGAGGUUGAAGUCAACGACACCUUGUUCAUCAAAGAGUAUGCAGGAUUGGCCCCAAGGUUGUUUGUAGCUGAAAAGUACAACAGAGAGAUGCAGAGUACAAACAGGUAGAGUCUGCUGCGGGUUGCGUACGAACGCCCAGCUGGUUGACGAGGGGAGCUGUGCCUGGGUG